Molecule: ribosomal RNA, 500 nt
Filed under: uncultured Bacteroidota bacterium
Lineage: Bacteria; Pseudomonadati; Bacteroidota
Description: bacterial SSU rRNA
Rfam family: Bacterial small subunit ribosomal RNA
Source: RNAcentral
GAGUUUGAUCCUGGCUCAGGAUGAACGCUAGCGGCAGGCCUAAUACAUGCAAGUCGAACGGGAUUUGGGUAGCAAUAUCCAAUGAGAGUGGCGCACGGGUGAGUAACGCGUAUGCAACCUACCUUUAACAGGGGAAUAGCUCCGAGAAAUCGGAAUUAAUGUCCCAUAGCAUCUAUAAGUUACGUGAUUUUUAGAUUAAAGCUCCGGCGGUUAAAGAUGGGCAUGCGUGCCAUUAGCUAGUUGGUGAGGUAACAGCUCACCAAGGCUAUGAUGGCUAGGGGUUCUGAGAGGACUAUCCCCCACACUGGUACUGAGACACGGACCAGACUCCUACGGGUGGCAGCAGUGGGGAAUAUUGGGCAAUGGGCGCAAGCCUGACCCAGCGACGCCGCGUGCGGGAAGACGGCCUUAGGGUUGUAAACCGCUGUUGUACGGGAAGAAGGAUUUGACGGUACCGUACGAGUAAGGUCCGGCUAACUACGUGCCAGCAGCCGCGGUAA